This 465-nucleotide ribosomal RNA is filed under the name uncultured Klebsiella sp. RNAcentral describes it as "bacterial SSU rRNA". It matches the Rfam family "Bacterial small subunit ribosomal RNA", at positions 338 to 795 of the family's 1533-position model. The record is from RNAcentral. Lineage: Bacteria; Pseudomonadati; Pseudomonadota; Gammaproteobacteria; Enterobacterales; Enterobacteriaceae.
CCUACGGGAGGCUGCAGUGGGGAAUAUUGCACAAUGGGCGCAAGCCUGAUGCAGCCAUGCCGCGUGUGUGAAGAAGGCCUUCGGGUUGUAAAGCACUUUCAGCGGGGAGGAAGGCGUUAAGGUUAAUAACCUUGUCGAUUGACGUUACCCGCAGAAGAAGCACCGGCUAACUCCGUGCCAGCAGCCGCGGUAAUACGGAGGGUGCAAGCGUUAAUCGGAAUUACUGGGCGUAAAGCGCACGCAGGCGGUCUGUCAAGUCGGAUGUGAAGUCCCCGGGCUCAACCUGGGAACUGCAUUCGAAACUGGCAGGCUAGAGUCUUGUAGAGGGGGGUAGAAUUCCAGGUGUAGCGGUGAAAUGCGUAGAGAUCUGGAGGAAUACCGGUGGCGAAGGCGGCCCCCUGGACAAAGACUGAUGCUCAGGUGCGAAAGCGUGGGGAGCAAACAGGAUUCGAUACCCCUGUAGUC